GACGAACGCUGGCGGCGUGCUUAACACAUGCAAGUCGAACGGAAAGGCGCUGCUUUUGUGGGGUGCUCGAGUGGCGAACGGGUGAGUAACACGUGAGUAACCUGCCCUUGACUUUGGGAUAACUUCAGGAAACUGGGGCUAAUACCGGAUAGGAGCUCCUGCUGCAUGGUGGGGGUUGGAAAGUUUCGGCAGUUGGGGAUGGACUCGCGGCUUAUCAGCUUGUUGGUGGGGUAGUGGCUUACCAAGGCUUUGACGGGUAGCCGGCCUGAGAGGGUGACCGGCCACAUUGGGACUGAGAUACGGCCCAGACUCCUACGGGAGGCAGCAGUGGGGAAUAUUGCACAAUGGGCGGAAGCCUGAUGCAGCAACGCCGCGUGCGGGAUGACGGCCUUCGGGUUGUAAACCGCUUUCGCCUGUGACGAAGCGUGAGUGACGGUAAUGGGUAAAGAAGCACCGGCUAACUACGUG
RNAcentral lists this ribosomal RNA (468 nucleotides) under uncultured bacterium. Its description in RNAcentral is "partial 16S ribosomal RNA". It matches the Rfam family "Bacterial small subunit ribosomal RNA", at positions 28 to 507 of the family's 1533-position model. The record is from RNAcentral.